GAAUCGAUGUCCGAGAGGUUAAAGGAGGUGGAUUGUAAAUCCAUUGUAAUAAUACUUCGUUGGUUCAAAUCCAACUCGAUUCA
Molecule: transfer RNA, 83 nt
Filed under: Nitzschia putrida
Lineage: Eukaryota; Bacillariophyta; Bacillariophyceae; Bacillariales; Bacillariaceae
Description: tRNA-Tyr
Rfam family: tRNA
About the family: Transfer RNA (tRNA) molecules are approximately 80 nucleotides in length. Their secondary structure includes four short double-helical elements and three loops (D, anti-codon, and T loops).
Source: RNAcentral